RNAcentral lists this ribosomal RNA (497 nucleotides) under uncultured bacterium. RNAcentral describes it as "partial 16S ribosomal RNA". It matches the Rfam family "Bacterial small subunit ribosomal RNA", at positions 28 to 507 of the family's 1533-position model. The record is from RNAcentral.
GACGAACGCUGGCGGCGUGCCUAAUACAUGCAAGUUGAGCGCUGAAGGUUGGUACUUGUACCAACUGGAUGAGCAGCGAACGGGUGAGUAACGCGUGGGGAAUCUGCCUUUGAGCGGGGGACAACAUUUGGAAACGAAUGCUAAUACCGCAUAAAAACUUUAAACACAAGUUUUAAGUUUGAAAGAUGCAAUUGCAUCGCUCAAAGAUGAUCCCGCGUUGUAUUAGCUAGUUGGUGAGGUAAAGGCUCACCAAGGCGAUGAUACAUAGCCGACCUGAGAGGGUGAGCGGCCAAAUUGGGACUGGGACACGGCCCAAACGCCUACGGGAGGCAGCAGUAGGGAAUCUUCGGCAAUGGACGAAAGUCUGACCGAGCAACGCCGCGUGAGUGAAGAAGGUUUUCGGAUCGUAAAACUCUGUUGGUAGAGAAGAACGUUGGUGAGAGUGGAAAGCUCAUCAAGUGACGGUAACUACCCAGAAAGGGACGGCUAACUACGUG